RNAcentral lists this long non-coding RNA (301 nucleotides) under Trifolium pratense (red clover). RNAcentral describes it as "long non-coding RNA (TPRA_LNC002734)". The record is from RNAcentral. Lineage: Eukaryota; Viridiplantae; Streptophyta; Magnoliopsida; Fabales; Fabaceae.
UUGAAUAAGUUAAAACAUGAUUAUGAUUGAUGAUGUAUAAAUAAUCACACAUAUAGUAAAUUAUUCUGUAUACAUAUUUAUUCUUUUUUUUUAAUUAAGUUAUCAUCAAUACAUAACCUUAUAAAAUGACCACAUAUUUUAAAUCUUGGCACCCCCAUGGAAUCACACACAUCACACAUGAGAACAAACCCUUGCUUCCUUGUAAACUUUUCCUGGUUUACAAAAGUACCCUUUACUUGGAUUACAAUGACUAUCUUGUGAACAAAUACACAAACCUUCUAAAGCACACCCAUUUUNNNNN